CCUACGGGAGGCAGCAGUGAGGAAUAUUGGUCAAUGGACGAGAGUCUGAACCAGCCAAGUAGCGUGAAGGAUGACUGCCCUAUGUGUUGUAAACUUCUUUUAUAAAGGAAUAAAACGAGGCACGUGUGCCUUUUUGCAUGUACUUUAUGAAUAAGGAUCGGCUAACGCCGUGACAGCAGCCGCGGGAAGACGGAGGAUCCGAGAGUUAUCUGGAAUUAGUGGGUUUAAGGGGAGCGUAGAUGGUUUGUGAAGACAGUUGGGAACGUGUGCGGCUCAACCGUAAAAUUGCAAUUUAUACUGGCAGUCUUGAGGACAGUUGAGGUAGGCGGAAUUCGUGGUGUAGCGGUGAAAUGCUUAGAUAGCACGAAGAACUCCGAUUGCGAAGGCAGCUUACUAAGCUGCCACUGACAUUGAUGCUCGAAAGUGUGGGUAUCAAACAGGAUUAGAUACCCCUGUAGUC
RNAcentral lists this ribosomal RNA (460 nucleotides) under uncultured bacterium. RNAcentral describes it as "partial 16S ribosomal RNA". It matches the Rfam family "Bacterial small subunit ribosomal RNA", at positions 338 to 795 of the family's 1533-position model. The record is from RNAcentral.